Molecule: ribosomal RNA, 348 nt
Filed under: uncultured bacterium
Lineage: Bacteria
Description: partial 16S ribosomal RNA
Rfam family: Bacterial small subunit ribosomal RNA
Source: RNAcentral
CCUACGGGUGGCUGCAGUAGGGAAUUUUCGGCAAUGGGGGGAACCCUGACCGAGCAAAGCCGCGUGAACGAAGAAGUUAUUCGUAAUGUAAAGUUCUUUUAACAGGGAAGCAAGAGAAAUUUGACGGUACCUGAAGAAUAAGAUCCGGCUAACUACGUGCCAGCAGCCGCUGUAAUACGUAGGGAGCGAGCGUUAUCCGGAAUUAUUGGGCGUAAAGGGUGCGUAGAUGGCAUAGUAAGUCUGUUGUAAAAAGGCUGGGCUCAAACCAGUAGGGCAAAAGAGACUGGAAAGCUAGAGUAUGCCAGAGGUAAGUGGAACGACAGGCGUAGCGGUAAAAUGCGUAAAUAU